RNAcentral lists this unclassified non-coding RNA (273 nucleotides) under Sclerotiniaceae sp. Its description in RNAcentral is "partial contains 5.8S ribosomal RNA, internal transcribed spacer 2, and large subunit ribosomal RNA". Lineage: Eukaryota; Fungi; Ascomycota; Leotiomycetes; Helotiales; Sclerotiniaceae. The record is from RNAcentral.
CGCACAUUGCGCCCCUUGGUAUUCCGGGGGGCAUGCCUGUUCGAGCGUCAUUUCAACCACUCAAGCCCUGCUUGGUAUUGACCGCCGGGGCCCUGUGUUACAACGGGGCCCCCGGUCGAAAAUCGUCGGCGGUGAAACUGGUGUCCACCUCAAGCGUACCAUUUUAGUUUUGCUAAACUAGCUUGUUGGGUCGGGCGGCCGGACCGGCCUCGAAAAACCCCCAUAUUUUCUAAGGUUGACCUCGGAUCAGGUAGGGAUACCCGCUGAACUUAA